RNAcentral lists this transfer RNA (73 nucleotides) under Yersinia phage fHe-Yen9-04. RNAcentral's name for it is "tRNA-Met-CAT". The record is from RNAcentral. Lineage: Duplodnaviria; Heunggongvirae; Uroviricota; Caudoviricetes.
UGCGGGUUGGAGAAGUGGUUAUCUCAUUGGGUUCAUAUCCCAAAGAUCGGCGGAUCAUACCCGUCACCCGCAU